GGGCGGUUAGCUCAAAGGCAGAGCAUCACCUUGACAUGGUGAAGGUUGUAGGUUCAAGUCCUGCACCGCCUA
This 72-nucleotide transfer RNA is filed under the name Candidatus Pacearchaeota archaeon. Its description in RNAcentral is "tRNA-Val". It matches the Rfam family "tRNA". From Rfam's summary of the family: Transfer RNA (tRNA) molecules are approximately 80 nucleotides in length. Their secondary structure includes four short double-helical elements and three loops (D, anti-codon, and T loops). Further hydrogen bonds mediate the characteristic L-shaped molecular structure. tRNAs have two regions of fundamental functional importance: the anti-codon, which is responsible for specific mRNA codon recognition, and the 3' end, to which the tRNAs corresponding amino acid is attached (by aminoacyl-tRNA synthetases). tRNAs cope with the degeneracy of the genetic code in two manners: having more than one tRNA (with a specific anti-codon) for a particular amino acid; and 'wobble' base-pairing, i.e. permitting non-standard base-pairing at the 3rd anti-codon position. The record is from RNAcentral. Lineage: Archaea; Nanobdellati.